AUCCUGGCUCAGGAUGAACGCUAGCGGCAGGCUUAACACAUGCAAGUCGAGGGGCAUCGGGAGUAGCAAUACUGCCGGCGACCGGCGCAAGGGUGCGUAACGCGUGAGCAACAUGCCCGUAUCAGGGGGGAUAAUCCAUGGAAACGUGGUCUAAUACCCCAUAGUAAUUAUGUAAGGCAUCUUAUAUAAUUUAAAGCUUUGGUGGAUACGGAUUGGCUCGCGUGACAUUAGCUGGAUGGUAAGGUAACGGCUUACCAUGGCUACGAUGUCUAGGGGUUCUGAGAGGAAGGUCCCCCACACUGGAACUGAGACACGGUCCAGACUCCUACGGGAGGCAGCAGUGAGGAAUAUUGGACAAUGGAUGGAAAUCUGAUCCAGCCAUGCCGCGUGCAAGGAAGACGGCCCUAGUGGGUUGUAAACUGCUUUUGUAUGGGAGCAAUAAGGGCUACGUGUAGUCCGAUGAGAGUACCAUACGAAUAAGCACCGGCUAACUCCGUGCCAGCCGCCGC
Molecule: ribosomal RNA, 509 nt
Filed under: uncultured bacterium
Lineage: Bacteria
Description: bacterial SSU rRNA
Rfam family: Bacterial small subunit ribosomal RNA
Source: RNAcentral